Molecule: transfer RNA, 77 nt
Filed under: uncultured Paraburkholderia sp.
Lineage: Bacteria; Pseudomonadati; Pseudomonadota; Betaproteobacteria; Burkholderiales; Burkholderiaceae
Description: tRNA-Pro-TGG
Rfam family: tRNA
About the family: Transfer RNA (tRNA) molecules are approximately 80 nucleotides in length.
Source: RNAcentral
CGGAGCGUAGCGCAGCUUGGUAGCGCAUCUGAUCUGGGAUCAGAGGGUCGAAGGUUCGAAUCCUUUCGCUCCGACCA